This 468-nucleotide ribosomal RNA is filed under the name uncultured bacterium. RNAcentral describes it as "partial 16S ribosomal RNA". It matches the Rfam family "Bacterial small subunit ribosomal RNA", at positions 28 to 507 of the family's 1533-position model. The record is from RNAcentral.
GACGAACGCUGGCGGCGUGCUUAACACAUGCAAGUCGAACGGAAAGGCCCUGCUUUUGUGGGGUGCUCGAGUGGCGAACGGGUGAGUAACACGUGAGUAACCUGCCCUUGACUUUGGGAUAACUUCAGGAAACUGGGGCUAAUACCGGAUAGGAUCUCCUGCUGCAUGGUGGGCGUUGGAAAGUUUCGGCGGUUGGGGAUGGACUCGCGGCUUAUCAGCUUGUUGGUGGGGUAGUGGCUUACCAAGGCUUUGACGGGUAGCCGACCUGAGAGGGUGACCGGCCACAUUGGGCCUGAGAUACGGCCCAGACUCCUACGGGAGGCAGCAGUGGAGAAUAUUACACAAUGGGCGGAAGCCUGAUGCAACAACGCCGCGUGCGGGAUGACGGCCUUCGGGUUGUAAACCGAUUCCGCCUGUGACGAAGCGUGAGUGACGGUAAUGGGUAAAGAAGCACCGGCUAACUACGUG